Non-coding RNA from Arachis ipaensis, 654 nucleotides. NCBI's taxonomy places the organism in Eukaryota, Viridiplantae, Streptophyta, Magnoliopsida, Fabales, Fabaceae. The record is from RefSeq and is a predicted model, not a curated record.
CAGAUACAUAGUAAUCCUGUAAUAUUAAAGUUGAUGCCUUCAGUUGCCAUUAUAAUUUUUGCAACAUGGGGUGUUGGUCCAUUAGCAUGUCAGAUAAGGAAAUUGCUUUUCUAGAGGAGUGAUAAUAGUUGGAAGAAAAGCAAAACACAUUAUAUAGUAACUUCUUACCUUCGGCCAUUACUUUUAUGGACUGGAGCAAUACUCUUUUGUAGAGCAUUGGAACCAGUAAUUCUACCUACAAAAACUAGCUAGGUUAUUAAGGAACGGCUUCUGCAUUUUGUAAGAUCAUUGUCAACUGUUCUGACCUUUGCCUAUUGUUUAUCAAGGUAUGCCGAUUCCCUUGCUUUUGACAUGAUCUAUUAACACUGCUGAACAAUUUGAUCACUAUUCACUUAACAAUAAUGCACCUAAUCACUUCCAGUUGAAAUAACUUGUGCUUAACUGCUUAUGCCCAUUGGGGUUUUCUCUAUUGGACUAUUAAACUAUAUGUUUUCCAAGAUAUCAUUAUUGUCAGCUUGAGUUCUUCAAUGUGAUUUUUUUUUUCAAAAUAAUCUGUUUACUAAGUUUUGCUUUGAUAAAACUAAUUGUGCAAUAUGCAGUGUAAUUCAGCAAACGCAUAAAUUCUUAUCUGAGAGCACUAAUCCAAGUGAGACG